CAGGAGAACCAUUUGGGCAUCAGUCGGAUUGGAGGCGGGAGGUCAAGAUGAACGCGAAGACGCUGGGAGAGGGGAGCAGUGCGGAGGAAGGAGGGCAGAGGCCAAGACCCGGCCAGCAGGACAGCCACCGCGCCGCCUUCCUCUCACCUCCGUGACGCCAUCCUCCUCUGCGUAGUCGCGCCCAGAUGUCGAGUCCUCAUCCACUCAGCUGCUACUGACUAAGCAUCCAGCUGAAACUAUACCUCUGUAGUUGUCGGACGAAACAUAGAUGGAAUCUUAUCCAUUGGUGGAGGAGCUCGAGAGCUCAGUACAGAUCCGCCCAACGUCCCGCACCUCUCAGCCAUCAGGCCCAAUACGUGUUCCAGUUCAGCUUCAUCAUGUCCCAGAGGUUAUAGCACGAAAUUAGCUGAAGUGGACCAAGGUGCACUUUUUGUGUGAGUUGUUCUGCAGGGAAAGCAGUGUUCUCCUCGACGACAACAUCAACAGGUGGUUUUUACACCAUCAGGAUCAGUAAGGAGCAUCCGGAAUUAAAGAACACAUAUGGUUACAAGCAAACUCCCUUUCAAUCCGAGAACAAAGUUCGCUUCUCAAGCGAAACCACUAUACAAAGGCCUAGAGGAAAUAACUGAUUCAUCCUGAGGAAGGUGAGCUCGAAAGUUCAGAUUCCUCAUGGUUGAUGCAUCAGAUGUGAAAACCCAUGCACACUCAAUGUUUGAACUAAUUCACCUCGAAAGUUCAAAUUCCGCUUGGUUGAUGCAUCAAAACCUAUCCACGCUCAAUACGUGAACUAAGUCCCUGCCUGCUUAUGUUGAUAACUCAUUGGUAGUUCCACAACGAAUCCGGGGCAUCUUAGGAAGCGAAUACAGCUAACGUUGCUGCAGUAGCAGAGGUUCCUCAUGUCGGACUCAGUGAUGACACACGUGUGUCUUAUGGAGGAAAUCUGACUGCACAUUGCAUUUCUUGUGAUUGUAAUAUAGUGUAGUCAUGAUCAAAUAUAUCAUUAACGUGAGAUGAGAUAGUGUCGCACAAAUAUGUAUUUCUUGAGUCUUGUUAAUACAUUAUUAUUCAUGCAGAUAAACAUGGUCCAGUCUUUCAGAAGUAUACCAGACUAUGACAGUAACGAAAACAUUGUUGUUGAUUCAGU
This is a long non-coding RNA of Lolium rigidum, 1144 nucleotides long. RefSeq lists it as uncharacterized. Lineage: Eukaryota; Viridiplantae; Streptophyta; Magnoliopsida; Poales; Poaceae. The transcript has 5 exons. The record is from RefSeq and is a predicted model, not a curated record.